This 253-nucleotide ribosomal RNA is filed under the name uncultured bacterium. RNAcentral describes it as "partial 16S ribosomal RNA". It matches the Rfam family "Bacterial small subunit ribosomal RNA", at positions 99 to 353 of the family's 1533-position model. The record is from RNAcentral.
CGGACGGGUGAGUAAUGUCUGGGAAACUGCCUGAUGGAGGGGGAUAACUACUGGAAACGGUAGCUAAUACCGCAUAACGUCGCAAGACCAAAGAGGGGGACCUUCGGGCCUCUUGCCAUCAGAUGUGCCCAGAUGGGAUUAGCUAGUAGGUGGGGUAACGGCUCACCUAGGUGACGAUCCCUAGCUGGUCUGAGAGGAUGACCAGCCACACUGGAACUGAGACACGGCCCAGACUCCUACGGGAGGCAGCAUG